This 2602-nucleotide long non-coding RNA is filed under the name Capsicum annuum. RNAcentral describes it as "long non-coding RNA (CANN_LNC001309)". Lineage: Eukaryota; Viridiplantae; Streptophyta; Magnoliopsida; Solanales; Solanaceae. The record is from RNAcentral.
ACAGCCGCAUCUCUCUUUCUCCCUCUUCCUCUCUUUCUUUCUCUGUCAAAUAGCAAAAGUUGCUGCCCGUCACCGUAUUUAGUGAGACGCCGGAGCAGUCGCGUCCCUUCGCCGGCCUCCUAUCUCCGCUCUCGCGUCUCCAGCGGUGGCAAUACCCAUCAGCCACUGCUCCAGCGUCGACUCCAUCUCUGUCGCUCAACCGGCGAAAUCAACAGCCAACUCCACCGUUGGCCACCAAAUCCGAACCAGCCGCCACAACAGCCAAAUUCGGCCGCCGUACCAUCAUUUUGGCCAGCGAAAUCAGUCUUACCGGUGGAAGCCAACCAUGGACGAUGAAUCUCCAACCAACACCGCCAUUGCUCCACCCAUUUCCAAUUAAAAAAUCAGUCCAUUACCAUCGUCACUCCGUUAAAUGUCAACGGAAGAAUCUUAAGUACAUGACGAAUUCACAUGUGAAUUCGUUUUAGGUUUGAUUUCUUUUUUCAAGUUUCGCCAAAAACCCUUUAUGUUGAUUAUUUUUGUUUUGAUUAUUUUUGUUUUACUGAUUCUGUGAUUUGAAAUUAGUGAAAUUUGAUUUUUUUAAUUUUGAUUUGACUCUUUGAUUUCCUGCUUAUUUUUAGUCUUUAAUUGACAUAUGCUAAGUCCAUUAUCGUUUGUUUGGCAAUACUAUUGUUGAAUCAUGAUCUUAGUAAUAUAAUAGUUUAAGUGUAGGUACUUGAAAACUAAAAUUUAGGAAGAGUUUGCCUGAUGAAUGUGAAUCUAGCUACAUUUUUUCGCAUUUAAACUAUCAUCUCUACCAUUUUAGGGACCUAGCUGUUAGUAUAGCUACCAGUCAUCUUCAAUAAUUUCCUUACAUCUAACUAAACUGCUGCAUUGCCUUCGACAACUCAUAGUUAAGAGUUAUUGAUGAAAAGGUGAAUACGAGAUUUUAAUCACGUACUGGCCGAUUAGUGCUGUAUCCAUUAAUUAAUCUUUUACACAGUUGAAUUUUGCUUAGCAAUUAUUUUAAAGCUGUUUGAAUCUAAAGAGUGUUGUCGGGUGUAUGAGCUAGGCUGUUCUGUUCUGAUUGUUCUAGGAGACAUCCUUAUCACAUGAAAAGCUAUGAAAUGUGAGUCAUUAGUCCUGUAUCUUCUUUUUACAUGUUAAUAUUCCUUUAACUGGAACUUGGAAGGAUAGUACUCUCCUUCUAGCAUGAUAUUGCAUAAACAAUAUCUUGAUUUGGUCAGUUCUAUACUUCUAUUAGUUGACAACAUAGGAUUUUCCAAUUUUGCUUAAGAGUGCCCUUUCCUUUGAAAUGUGGACUUGUGUUUUGAAUUUAGUUAAGUGUGGUCACUUGAGAAGUGAAUAAGUACUUGAAAUGUUUAACCGUAGUUACUUGAAAUGUGGACUUGUGUUUUGAAUUUAGUUAAGUGUGGUCACUUGAGAAGUGAAUAAGUACUUGAAAUGUUUAACCGUAGUUACUUGAAAUGUGGACUUGUGUUUUGAAUUUAGUUAAGUGUGGUCACUUGAGAAGUGAAUAAGUACUUGAAAAUGUUUAAGUGUAGGUACUUGAAAUGUGGAGUUGUGUUUUAAUUUUAGUAAAGUGUGGUCACUUGAGAAGUGAGUUAAUGACUUGAAAAUGUUCAAGUGUAGGUACUUGAAAUGUGGACUUGUGUUUUGAAUUUAGUUAAGUGUGGUCACUUGAGAAGUGAAUAAGUACUUGAAAAUGUUUAAGUAUAGUUACUUGAAAUGUGGACUUGUGUUUUGAAUUUAGUAAAGUGUAGUCACUGGAGAAGUGAAUUAGUGACUUGAAAAUGUUUAAGUGUAGGUACUUGAAAUGUGAACUUUUAUUUUGAAUUAAGUUUAGUUUGAUAACUUGUGAAGUGAAUUAGUGACUUGAAAAUGUUUUGGUGUAGGUACUUGAAUUGUGAACUCUUUAUUUUGAAUUUAGUUUAGUUAGGUAACUUGUGAAGUGAAUUGAUGUCUUGAAAUGUUUAAGUGUAGUUACUUGAAUUAUGAAUUAGUGACUUUUGUUUUAAAUUUAGGCACUUGAAAUGUGAACUUGCGUUUUGAUUUUAGUAAAGUGUGGUCACUUGAGAAAUGAAUUAGUGACUUCAAAAUGUUUAACUGUAGAUAUUUGAAACGUGAACUUUUCAUUUUGAAUUAAGUUUAGUUUGGUAACUUCUGAAGUGAAUUAGUGACUUGAAAAUGUUUAGGUGUAGGUAUUUGAAAUGUGAACUUUUGUGACUUGAACUAAUUACUUGAAUGUGAUUGAUUGUGUAGAUGAAACCUGAUUAUAGUUGGAUGUAUCAACGAAAUAUUAAUAAUAAAAUGGGUGAGGCUGAGAAUGAAGAUGCGGAUGAUGAGUUGUAUUUUUUAGUCUUUUGUAUGUUUUAUAGUUUGGAUUUGGAAUCUCGAUAAAUUUUGUAAAUAAUUUGAUUUUUAAUGUUUGUAUUCUUAUGGUGGUUGGUUGAUUGUAUAUUAAAUGUUUGGCGGACUGUAUUGUAAAUAAUUUGAUUUUUAAUGUUUUUAAAUGAUUGGUGGGCUGUAUUGUAAAUAAUUUAAUUUUUAAUUUUGUAAAUAAUUUGAUUUUUAAUGUUUGUAUUUUGGAAAUUUUUAAUAU